GGGGAUGUUGGAGAAGGUAACAUCAGGACGUCUCACCGCUGAUAGCAGGACAUUCGUCUUCUUUUCGUUAGCUCCGUUAGCUUAGCCUCCACGCCGUUAGCUUAGCAGUUAGCAUCUCCCAGAAAAAUGACUUCAGUGAGUUCAGAGUUAUGAUAAUUUAAUUAUUUUCACAAUAAAAGCCUUCAUUUGCAUGGAUUUUAAUAGUGGACUCUCACCUGUUUAUGGAUUUGAAUCUGAAAUAUUUUACGAAAAAGCAGAUUUCUGUCUGAUCCGCUCCAUCUCCUGAAAA
Molecule: long non-coding RNA, 289 nt
Organism: Poecilia latipinna (sailfin molly)
Lineage: Eukaryota; Metazoa; Chordata; Actinopteri; Cyprinodontiformes; Poeciliidae
Exons: 2
Source: RefSeq, a predicted model, not a curated record